UGCGAUGAAGGUCUUCGGAUCGUAAAGCACUGUCGCGAGGGAAGAAACCUGACGGUACCUCGAGAGGAAGCACCGGCUAACUCUGUGC
Molecule: ribosomal RNA, 88 nt
Filed under: uncultured bacterium
Lineage: Bacteria
Description: partial 16S ribosomal RNA
Rfam family: Bacterial small subunit ribosomal RNA
Source: RNAcentral